Myotis davidii is the source of this 140-nucleotide long non-coding RNA. RefSeq lists it as uncharacterized. The record is from RefSeq and is a predicted model, not a curated record. The transcript is spliced from 3 exons. NCBI's taxonomy places the organism in Eukaryota, Metazoa, Chordata, Mammalia, Chiroptera, Vespertilionidae.
CGAGUUAUUAUGCAAAUCAUAAAGGAUAUGGUUUUGUCUAGAAAGAGAGGUGCACAGCUGUGGAGAAGCCUCAGUGAAAGCCAGAGACAAGUCACUUCCCUUUUCAUUGGGUGUCACCUCCCUGAAGUAGAAGCACAUUU